AAUGAACGUUGGCGGCAUGGAUUAGGCAUGCAAGUCGGGGGAAUCCCAGCAAUGGGGGAACCGGCGUAAGGGGCAGUAAGGCAUGGGUACCUACCUUGGGGUUCGGGAUAGCCAUCAGAGAUGGUGGGUAAUACCGGAUGACGUCGUGAGACCAAAGAUUUAUCGCCCUUAGAGGGGCCCAUGUGAUAUUAGCUAGUUGGUGGGGUAACGGCCCACCAAGGCGAAGAUGUCUAGCGGGUGUGAGAGCACGACCCGCGCCACUCGCACUGAGAAACUGGCGAGACACUUACGGGUGGCUGAAGUCGAGGAUCUUCGGCAAUGAGCGCAAGCUUGACCGAGCGAUGCCGCGUGAGCGAUGAAGGCCUUCGGGUUGUAAAGCUCUUUAGUGGGGGAGAAAAGCCGCAAGGUGUGAUCUAUCCCAAAAAUAAGCACGGGCUAAGUUCGUGCCAGCAGCCGCAGUAA
RNAcentral lists this ribosomal RNA (462 nucleotides) under uncultured bacterium. RNAcentral's name for it is "partial 16S ribosomal RNA". It matches the Rfam family "Bacterial small subunit ribosomal RNA", at positions 29 to 523 of the family's 1533-position model. The record is from RNAcentral.